Molecule: long non-coding RNA, 424 nt
Filed under: Mytilus galloprovincialis (Mediterranean mussel)
Lineage: Eukaryota; Metazoa; Mollusca; Bivalvia; Mytilida; Mytilidae
Source: RNAcentral
GUGAAAACGUCUUUACGUGAUGUGGUUGUUUCAUUACAUGAUGCAAAACUUUCCAUAUGUGCUGUGAAAAUAAAAACCCUUGUACAUGAUGCGAAUACUUUAGUGUAUGAUGUGAAUAUUGCAGUACGUGAUGAUAUAACUGCAUUACCUGAUGUGAACGUCACCUUAUAAUUAUACGUCAUGUAAAUUGUUAAAUGAGACCAUCCUCCCGGGACGUGUAGUUGCCAGUAUUGUGUCCCUAUUCGACCAUCUGGACACCUUAUGUCAGAUUAUGGCUGAACAACAGACAAUUAAUUAAAUGAGACUAUGUUUAGUCACAAAUGUACAAUAAUUGCGGACAAACGAGAGUUAACAAACUUUUUUAAAGGAAGUUCAAAAAUAGAGUAAUUUCAAGUGUAAAAUGAAAAAUAAAGUGUUCCCAGAG